This 1166-nucleotide long non-coding RNA is filed under the name Diabrotica virgifera virgifera (western corn rootworm). Its description in RNAcentral is "uncharacterized LOC126888869". The record is from RNAcentral. Lineage: Eukaryota; Metazoa; Arthropoda; Insecta; Coleoptera; Chrysomelidae.
CACGUUAACACGCUUGGGAAAGUAGAAUCGGUGCUCGGCAAUGUUCGGAUAUUCUACUAGCCAUGUUAAAAAUAUCGCUUCUUCUUCUUAAAAAUAUUGCUUUUUGACGUGUGGUUGUCUUUAUUUUGUGGUGGUUGUAUUCAAAAAGCUAACCUAAAGAAAGAUUAUAAUUUGUGAUUAUUUUCAAUUUGUAUAUUUUUGUCUUGGGUUGUUUGGAACUAUUUUAUUAGAAAUCACUAAAUUUUUAAAUUUUACCUGUGACUAGAGAACAUUGUUAUAUUAAGGUGUGUGAUCCAGACUUAAAAAUUUUAAACAUCGAUGCUAGAUGGGGAGGUGCAACACAUGAUGUGGAGAAACUCAAAUGUAAAACUUUUUUGCAGCAGAUCGUUUAAAAUAGAGAUCAAAGCAUUUUCCAUUUCUAUUCUGGCAAAGAUUACUUUCACUUCUUAGUUAUCUUUGCUGGACGGUGAAGCUUUAUAUCUUAUUAUGAAGUAUUUUGAACAUAAAACUUUUGUUUUAUGGAUGCAUUGAUCAAAUAUCUUAAAGAAAUGUUUAUUUAAAGUUUCAUAAUAAUUUUUAUAAGUAGUUUAAUAUAAUUACUUAUUUUUGCACUAGAAAUAAUAAUUGUAAAGCUUCAUUGACUAAUGGCCAGUUUCACCAAAGAUGAAUAGUAGUUUAUUCGAUGAAUAAAAUUAUUCAACUGAUAAAACUGACACAACUAUGUUUCUCUAACGUCAAAUAGUACUUAUUUUAUUUAUUCAUCAAAUAAAUAUUUACUCUUCAAAUGAAUUGACGAGUUAAUCUCACUUUAAAUAUCUAUAUAAAGAAAAUUUGUCAAUUUAAUUUUAAAUUAUCAAACUAUUCACUGAUUUAUUUGUUGUUGGUGAAACUGGCCAUAGAGAGUAAAAUUGCAUUAUUUUUCAAUUUACAUAAAUUUGUGGUUUAUUUGUGAUUUAUUCUUUGUUCUUAUUUUAGUCUUGGUAUGAAACAAUGUUAAGACAAUACUGUGUGCUUUUUCAGUCCUAUGAAAGAAAAUGUUUUGGAUGUAAUAGAGAAGUACUACAACUUUGUUAUGAAGAUUUGUCUUUAUGUUAUUUUUAUAAUGUUCAUGGAUUAUAUUUGUUUUUAUGUUUUCUUCAGUUUAAAUAAAGUUUAUGUUUUACCCA